Molecule: ribosomal RNA, 465 nt
Filed under: uncultured bacterium
Lineage: Bacteria
Description: partial 16S ribosomal RNA
Rfam family: Bacterial small subunit ribosomal RNA
Source: RNAcentral
CCUACGGGUGGCAGCAGUAGGGAAUCUUCCACAAUGGACGAAAGUCUGAUGGAGCAACGCCGCGUGAGUGAAGACGGGUUUCGGCUCGUAAAGCUCUGUUGGUCGUGAAGAAAGAUAGAGGUAGUAACUGGCCUUUAUUUGACGGUAAUUACUUAGAAAGUCCCGGCUAACUACGUGCCAGCAGCCGCGGUAAUACGGAGGUGGCAAGCGUUGUCCGGAUUUAUUGGGGGUAAAGCGAGUGCAGGCGGUUCAAUAAGUCUGAUGUGAAAGCCUUCGGCUCAACCGGAGAAUUGCAGCAGAAACUGGUGAACUUGAGUGGGGAAGAGGAGAGUGGAACGCCAGGUGUAGCGGUGAAAUGCGUAGAUAUAAGGAAGAACACCAGUGGCGAAGGCGGCUCUCUGGUCUGCAACUGACGCUGAGGCACGAAAGCAUGGGUAGCGAACAGGAUUAGAUACCCGAGUAGUC